UACAGAGACCUCAAGCGUUAUCCGGAAUCAUUGGGCGUAAAGCGUACCGAUAGGUGGUCUAAAAAGUCAGAUGUGAAAUUCCAAGGCUCAACCUUGGGACUGUCAUUUGAAACUUUUAGACUAGAGGGGCAAAGAGGAAGCUGGAACGAACGGUGUAGUAGUGAAAUGCGUUGAUAUCGUUCGGAACACCAAUAGCGAAGGCGGGCUUCUGGGUGCCACCUGACACUGCUAGGACGAGAGCGUGGGGAGCGAAUGGG
Molecule: ribosomal RNA, 257 nt
Filed under: uncultured bacterium
Lineage: Bacteria
Description: partial 16S ribosomal RNA
Rfam family: Bacterial small subunit ribosomal RNA
Source: RNAcentral